GACGAACGCUGGCGGCGUGCUUAACACAUGCAAGUCGAACGGAAAGGCCCUGCUUGCAGGGUACUCGAGUGGCGAACGGGUGAGUAACACGUGGGUGAUCUGCCCUGCACUUCGGGAUAAGCCUGGGAAACUGGGUCUAAUACCGGAUAGGAGCCAAUUUGAGUGUGAUGGUUGGAAAGUUUUUUCGGUGUAGGAUGAGCUCGCGGCCUAUCAGCUUGUUGGUGGGGUAAUGGCCUACCAAGGCGGCGACGGGUAGCCGGCCUGGGAGGGUGGACGGCCACAGUGGGAUUGAGAUACGGCCCAGACUCCUACGGGAGGCAGCAGUGGGGAAUAUUGAACAAUGGGCGCGAGCCUGAUGCAGCGACGCCGCGUGGGGGAUGACGGCCUUCGGGUUGUAAACUCCUUUCGCUAGGGACGAAGCUUUUUGUGACGGUACCUAGAUAAGAAGCACCGGCUAACUACGUG
Molecule: ribosomal RNA, 465 nt
Filed under: uncultured bacterium
Lineage: Bacteria
Description: partial 16S ribosomal RNA
Rfam family: Bacterial small subunit ribosomal RNA
Source: RNAcentral